UACAUGUGGGGCAAGCGUUGUUCGGAAUUACUGGGCAUAAGGGGUGCGUAGGUGGCUUGUUAAGUCAGGGGUGAAAGUUUUCGGCCCAACCGGAAAAUGGCCUUUGAUACUGGCGAGCUCGAGUGCGUGAGGGGUAACCGGAACGAGCAGUGUAGCGGUGAAAUGCGCAGAUAUCAGGAGGAACACCGAUGGCGAAGGCAGCUCGCUGGGACGGUACUGACGCUGAGGCGCGAAAGCGUGGGGAGCAAACAGG
Molecule: ribosomal RNA, 253 nt
Filed under: uncultured bacterium
Lineage: Bacteria
Description: partial 16S ribosomal RNA
Rfam family: Bacterial small subunit ribosomal RNA
Source: RNAcentral